This 301-nucleotide ribosomal RNA is filed under the name uncultured bacterium. RNAcentral's name for it is "partial 16S ribosomal RNA". It matches the Rfam family "Bacterial small subunit ribosomal RNA", at positions 509 to 807 of the family's 1533-position model. The record is from RNAcentral.
CAGUAGCCGCGGGAAUACGUAGGGUGCAAGCGUUAAUCGGAAUUACUGGGCGUAAAGCGUGCGCAGGCGGUUCGGAAAGAAAGAUGUGAAAUCCCAGGGCUCAACCUUGGAACUGCAUUUUUAACUACCGGACUAGAGUAUGUCAGAGGGAGGUGGAAUUCCACGUGUAGCAGUGAAAUGCGUAGGUAUGUGGAGGAACACCGAUGGCGAAGGCAGCCUCCUGGGAUAAUACUGACGCUCAUGCACGAAAGCGUGGGGAGCAAACAGGAUUAGAUACCCGAGUAGUCCCUGUCUCUUAUAC